UUGAACGCUGGCGGCAUGCCUUACACAUGCAAGUUGAACGGCAGCACAGGUAGCAAUACUGGGUGGCGAGUGGCGCACGGGUGCGUAACACGUAUGCAACCUACCCUAUACAGGCGAAUAACCUUUAGAAAUGAGGGCUAAUACGCCGUAGUAUUACAGAUGGGCAUCUAUUUGUAAUUAAAGAUUUAUCGGUAUAGGAUGGGCAUGCGUCCCAUUAGUUAGUUGGUAAGGUAACGGCUUACCAAGACGAUGAU
Molecule: ribosomal RNA, 254 nt
Filed under: uncultured bacterium
Lineage: Bacteria
Description: partial 16S ribosomal RNA
Rfam family: Bacterial small subunit ribosomal RNA
Source: RNAcentral